ACGUACACUCCUACGGGAGGCAGCAGUGGGGAAUCUUGCGCAAUGGGCGAAAGCCUGACGCAGCCAUGCCGCGUGAAUGUUGAAGGUCUUAGGAUUGUAAAAUUCUUUCACCGGGGACGAUAAUGACGGUACCCGGAGAAGAAGCCCCGGCUAACUUCGUGCCAGCAGCCGCGGUAAUACGAAGGGGGCUAGCGUUGCUCGGAAUUACUGGGCGUAAAGGGAGCGUAGGCGGACAUUUAAGUCAGGGGUGAAAUCCCGGGGCUCAACCUCGGAAUUGCCUUUGAUACUGGGUGUCUUGAGUAUGAGAGAGGUGUGUGGAACUCCGAGUGUAGAGGUGAAAUUCGUAGAUAUUCGGAAGAACACCAGUGGCGAAGGCGACACACUGGCUCAUUACUGACGCUGAGGCUCGAAAGCGUGGGGAGCAAACAGGAUUAGAUACCCUGGUAGUCCCAU
RNAcentral lists this ribosomal RNA (453 nucleotides) under uncultured organism. RNAcentral describes it as "partial 16S ribosomal RNA". It matches the Rfam family "Bacterial small subunit ribosomal RNA", at positions 329 to 798 of the family's 1533-position model. The record is from RNAcentral.